UUGACUCACGCGGGAAUCUUACCGGGUCCGGACACACUGAGGAUUGACAGAUAUACGCUCAUUGCUGCGUGCUUCGGCGCGUGCUUUGAGCUGAAAGAUGCUAGUUCUUUCAUGAUUAUGUGAUAGGUGGUGCAUGGCCGUUCUUAGUUCGUGGAGUGAUCUGUCUGCUUAAUUGCGUAUCAAUAAUAGAGACCUAGUAUACGCGUGGAUUUCGCGUGGUAGUGACCCCCUGUUUAACGACAGGCGUGUGUCGCACACGCGUACCUACGCACUGGUCUCAGAUAGCAACGAACGUGACCGUAUUCUAUUGUUGCAGUGAAAUGUGCCUUCUGGG
This 334-nucleotide ribosomal RNA is filed under the name Ammonia sp. T2A. Its description in RNAcentral is "SSU rRNA". It matches the Rfam family "Eukaryotic small subunit ribosomal RNA", at positions 1195 to 1434 of the family's 1831-position model. The record is from RNAcentral. Lineage: Eukaryota; Foraminifera; Rotaliida; Rotaliidae.